RNAcentral lists this ribosomal RNA (789 nucleotides) under uncultured archaeon. RNAcentral's name for it is "bacterial SSU rRNA". It matches the Rfam family "Archaeal small subunit ribosomal RNA", at positions 85 to 879 of the family's 1478-position model. The record is from RNAcentral.
ACGGCUCAGUAACACGUGGACAAUCUAACCUACGGAAGAGGAUAACCCCGGGAAACUGGGGAUAAUACUCUAUAGACUAUGGAUGCUGGAAUGCUUCGUAGUCGAAAGGUCCGCCGCCGUAGGAUGGGUCUGCGGCCGAUUAGGUUGUUGUUGGGGUAACGGCCCAACAAGCCUGUAAUCGGUACGGGUUGUGGGAGCAAGAGCCCGGAGAUGGAUUCUGAGACACGAAUCCAGGCCCUACGGGGCGCAGCAGGCGCGAAAACUUUACAAUGCGGGAAACCGUGAUAAGGGAACUCCGAGUGCCCGUAAAAUCGGGCUGUCCAUCAGUGUAAAUAACUGGUGAAGAAAGGGCCGGGCAAGACCGGUGCCAGCCGCCGCGGUAAUACCGGCGGCUCGAGUGGUGGCCACUAUUACUGGGCUUAAAGCGUUCGUAGCUGGUUUGUUAAGUCUCUGGGGAAAUCUUCCGGCUUAACCGGAAGGCGUCUCAGGGAUACUGGCAGACUAGGGACCGGGAGAGGUGAGGGGUACUCCAGGGGUAGGAGUGAAAUCCUGUAAUCCUUGGGGGACCACCUGUGGCGAAGGCGCCUCACCAGAACGGCUCCGACAGUGAGGGACGAAAGCUGGGGGAGCAAACCGGAUUAGAUACCCGGGUAGUCCCAGCCGUAAACGAUGCGCGUUAGGUGUAUCGGUGACCACGAGUCACCGAGGUGCCGAAGAGAAAUCGUGAAACGUGCCGCCUGGGAAGUACGGUCGCAAGGCUGAAACUUAAAGGAAUUGGCGGGGGAGCAC